UACGAAGGGAGCUAGCGUUGUUCGGAAUCACUGGGCGCAAAGCGCACGUAGGCGGAUUUGCCAGUCAGGGGUGAAAUCCCGGGGCUCAACCUCGGAACUGCCUUUGAUACAGCAAGUCUUGAGUUCGAGAGAGGUGGGUGGAAUUCCUAGUGUAGAGGUGAAAUUCGUAGAUAUUAGGAAGAACACCGGUGGCGAAGGCGGCCCACUGGCUCGACACUGACGCUGAGGUGCGAAAGCGUGGGGAGCAAACAGG
RNAcentral lists this ribosomal RNA (253 nucleotides) under uncultured bacterium. Its description in RNAcentral is "partial 16S ribosomal RNA". It matches the Rfam family "Bacterial small subunit ribosomal RNA", at positions 524 to 776 of the family's 1533-position model. The record is from RNAcentral.